GCAAGUCGAGCGCCCACUUCGGUGGGAGCGGCAGACGGGUGAGUAACACGUGGGAACCUACCCUUUAGUACGGAAUAGCCUCGGGAAACUGGGAAUAAUACCGUAUACGCCCCAUGGGGGAAAGAUUUAUCGCUAAAGGAUGGGCCCGCGUUGGAUUAGCUAGUUGGUGAGGUAAAGGCUCACCAAGGCGAUGAUCCGUAGCUGGUCUGAGAGGGUGAUC
RNAcentral lists this ribosomal RNA (220 nucleotides) under uncultured bacterium. Its description in RNAcentral is "partial 16S ribosomal RNA". It matches the Rfam family "Bacterial small subunit ribosomal RNA", at positions 57 to 305 of the family's 1533-position model. The record is from RNAcentral.